Molecule: long non-coding RNA, 531 nt
Organism: Solanum lycopersicum (tomato)
Lineage: Eukaryota; Viridiplantae; Streptophyta; Magnoliopsida; Solanales; Solanaceae
Source: RefSeq, a predicted model, not a curated record
AUCGAUACUCUCCGUCUCUCUCUAGAAAAAAUCAGUGAAGACCUUGCUAUAAAAACUGUAAAGAAUCGGAAGAAUUUUCAAAAUCUAAAUCUAUUUUAUAUAAAUUUUGACUUCUCCCCCUUUAUCCCUGGUAAUCAGAAUUGACGGCAGAGGAUGGGGGUGAUGAGCCAAGCGUUGAUGCCGACGAUUUCAUUUACCUUAUGCACGGGUCAUAUCUCUUUUGUUAUAUUUAUUAUUUAACUGUUUGACAUGAACUGUUCAGGUCUUAUCAAAGGUAAAAGUGCAGUUUCUUGCUUUACUUCCGACACUUCGUCCUAACGGGAGGGUCAUUCUUGUAGAUGCAAGAGUCAAGACAAGUCAUCAAUCGAAAAAGGUUGAAUAAGGUAUACAUCCCAGACUCCAAUUUGUCUAAGUAUGUUCUUGAUGUUCAUCUUUUUGAGAAUUGAACCACUUUCUUUUUGCUUUCAAGAGGUGCAAGUUCAUGAAUUUUUUUUUUUUUUUGAAUAUAUACAAGCAUGACUAUUCUAUUUA